This 268-nucleotide long non-coding RNA is filed under the name Cucumis sativus (cucumber). RNAcentral describes it as "long non-coding RNA (CSAT_LNC000290)". The record is from RNAcentral. Lineage: Eukaryota; Viridiplantae; Streptophyta; Magnoliopsida; Cucurbitales; Cucurbitaceae.
AAAAAUGAGAAAGAAACAAAAGAGAAAAGAAACAUGAAAAAAAAAGAAUAAAAAAAGAGAAAAAAAUGAAAAAAAAAGCAAGAUAGAAAAGAAAAGGAAAACGAAAAAAUAAAAUUGAAAAGAAAAAAGAAAGUAAACAAAAAUAAAAUAAAAUAAAAACGAAGACAAAAAAAAGAAAAAUUAAAAGAAAUGAUGAAAAGAAAAGAAAUGAAAAAUGAAAAAAAGAAAAGAAAAGAAAAAUAAGAAUAAAAAAAGAGAAGAAAGAAAA